GGAAGGGCUUUAGCUCAGUGGCAGAGCAUUCGCUUUGCAUGCAGAAUGUCCCGGGUUCCAUCCCCAAUGGCAUCUGUCCA
Podarcis lilfordi (Lilford's wall lizard) is the source of this 80-nucleotide non-coding RNA. NCBI's taxonomy places the organism in Eukaryota, Metazoa, Chordata, Lepidosauria, Squamata, Lacertidae. The record is from the annotation of a GenBank genome assembly.